GAGUUAACAAAACAAUUUGAAUGUUUUUGUCGUCCAAGUUUUUUGAAUUUACAAUUAGGUCAACGUAGUUACUCGAAGCUAUUUAGAAUGAAUAUGUUCAAAGGAUUGAACGGACAAAGUUAACCUAAUAACGAUACGUUCAACAAGAGAAUGGUGAAAGUUUAAUUGUUGGUCUUCGUGUUUGGUUCAACUGGCUACAUUGAUUCCUUGCAAAACAACAGGAAAGGCAACCAAAGAAAGAUAACCAGCAAUAGACAGUUGAUUCACACAUUAAAGUCACAACAAUGGAUUACAAGCACUCGGAAUGGGCUUUGGUUCUUGUCAUGUCUGCCUUUAUGGUUAUAAUGAUGAUUUUUGCCUUCUUACUGGCCGUGGGCCUUCGUAUGUGCUACAAAAAACCAAGAGUACCUGGGCCUAGUAGUGCCUAGAUGAUGGUAUUUAUUUACAAUAUUUAAUAUCAAUAUUGUGUUUUUUCGUGAUCUUUUUGAUAAUAACAUCAUCACAACACAUCCUAACAACAGCAAUGUGGCCAUUAAAGCAUAAAAUUCAUCAAUCAAUUCAAAUAACAGAUCGACCUCGUCAACUUUCUAUUCUGAAAAUCAUUUGAUAUUCGCUGAUUGCCAUCAUCAUCAUCCAAUGGGUACCUACGAUAUCAGCAACAUUUAGAUACAAGAUGGUUCGAAAAUAGAAAACUUAGCAUUUUUUUCGUUGAUCAUUAAUUUUGAAAAAUUUAUCGAUUCACUUUCCAGUCUUCAAUUUUACCUUUGGUUUAUCGCUCAGUUUUUCAAUGGAUUAUUUCUUUAACCUUCUGUUCCAUUUUUUUGUUACAUGGCUAAUAUGGAUUUAUUUGAAAAAAUUAAAAUGUAAAAUAAGCUUAGCUUAUUAUUCAAAGUUUUUUGUUGGUAAUUUUGCUAAUUUACCAAUGCCAAAAUAUUUUACUUUCUCUGACUAGACAGCUUCCUAAUGUUACAUGCUAACUAAAUCAGCUCGUUAUCUUCAAGUCAAUAAUAAUUUUUGUCAAACAAAAUUUGCAAAAUAAAAUCUUGAUAUUUAAAA
Molecule: long non-coding RNA, 1056 nt
Organism: Tetranychus urticae (two-spotted spider mite)
Lineage: Eukaryota; Metazoa; Arthropoda; Arachnida; Trombidiformes; Tetranychidae
Source: RefSeq, a predicted model, not a curated record